AAGAAAAAAUCGAAAAAGCCGUAGACAGCAGGUGCAUUUAUUUGCGUAAGUCCUGCCGAGGAGAUUGCUGAAAUUGAGCUAUAAGCCUCUUUGUCUAUGUGCAAAGAGGCUUUCUUUAUUGAUAA
The sequence is a regulatory RNA element, 125 nucleotides long. It matches the Rfam family "Ribosomal protein L10 leader". From Rfam's summary of the family: This family is a putative r-protein leader autoregulatory structure found in B. subtilis and other low-GC Gram-positive bacteria. It is located in the 5' untranslated regions of mRNAs encoding ribosomal proteins L10 and L12 (rplJ-rplL). The record is from Rfam.